GGGACCAUGAGGAUGAUGCCUAGGGUUGACUAUGCAAAACAAGUCUGGCUUCUGAGUCAGAGAAAAAGCUGAGUUCACAAACAGCCCUUCGAUUGCUUCCCAUUUUGUGUGGGAUGCUGCAUGGUUAUAGGACUCAAAAAUAUACAGCCUAUCCUUUUGUGUUGCAGGUUGUUACAGAGCCCAGGGUAGCUAGCAUAUAAUAUGCUGACUCCACUUUAAAACCAUUUGCUGGCAAUAGGCUUAAUGGCAUCCUCCAAAAGAAGAAAGUUGUUAAUUAUGGGGUCACACAGUGAAAUUCUUAGCAUCAGUCAUGUGUAUAUUUUUGUUAAAUCUUUAAUAUAAUGCUUUAUAUAUCAAUUUGUUGAAUCAUUGAAACUUGGAGAUAGAUGAAGAAACAGGACUACACUCAUACAGAAAUGAUAGGCACACUUAGUUUUUUUCUUUAUAAUGAGAGAUGUGGAGCAUGGUGACAAUCAAGAGGCAUUAUUUCAACUUUCUACUGAAGGCUUAUGUGAUCAGGCAAAUCAUUUCUCUGAACCUUAGUUUCCUCAAUGGUCACAUGGGAAGAUAAGGCUCAAUCAAUAGAGUUGAUCCAUCAAAUGAGAUAACAGAUUUGAAGUAUUUUACAACAUGCCCAAGAGUGGCACAGAUAGGAUUUUAAAAAUUCCAAUCAAUGCUCCUCCUCCUCAUAAAUUUUUUUUAAUGGUAAUAAUUUUUUCCUUCCUUUCUACAUUCCUUAAUAGCACUUAAUCCCACAUAUACUUCAAUUCUAUAUUAAGAUUUUAAGUUCUUGCUAACACAAUGUUCCCUUAACUAGAAAACUGAGAAACAAAAAUGCAGUGUUUAUCAAAGUGCCUUCAUUUUAUUCCCCCAUUGGCAUCUGAGGAGAAACUGUUCACUUUCUCUCUAUAAAAGUGUCUUGGUAUCCUAAAAUAGUUCAAGAGACUUCUAAGAUCCCUAAAAUGGAGUUGUUAUUACAGGAUCCAGGAGAUCAUGACUCAUGAUAGUUCUGUAUUAGUCUGUUGGACAAUUAAAAACUGUUUCAAAUAACGUGGUGGUGGGGAAGCUUAAUAGAGUUCUGAAAUAAUACAACAAAGAUGACUUGAAAAAAAAAAAAAAAGCUGAAACACUGCGUCUGAAACCAAUAACAGGAUAUGAUGAGGAUCCGGCCCUGGAGGACAGAGUGCAAACAUGAUGUACUUGAAUCUAGAAAUUUUGCAUCACAUCCUUCCAGAGCAUGUGUGAUUAAAUGCAGUUUGAAGAUGAAUGGGAAACUUUCUAUCCAACUGUUCCUAAGCAUAGAGUUCACCCUGCUAAAAUAGGUAACUGAUAAUAUGUAGCACACAUUUCGAUUAAUAAGCAAUCAAAAUGAUAAUGGCUCACCAUCGUCAUGCACGGCAAGUAGUAUUAAAUAUUUUCCUUUUGGGUAAAACUGCAUUCACAUUUCACAGUGGAUGAUUUUAUCUAAUGAAAUGCCAAGUAUUUUUUUUCUGAAAACAAUUUUCAGUGGAUGGAAUUAUUGAUUUGUGGUCCACACAAAGAAUAUGCUCACAGAGAAGACAUUGUUCUAUUUUUGAUCUUACUGAAUUUAAAGUCUUUUUGGACAUCCUGAUAGUUGAGAAUGAAUGGGCAAAGACAGACCUGAAGCUACAUUUUGGGAGAGAGCUGAAUUACUAUAAAAAAUUCAGUGACUGGAGGAUAGUGUGGGACAAUGAAGCUGUGGAGGGAAA
Molecule: long non-coding RNA, 1730 nt
Filed under: Marmota monax (woodchuck)
Lineage: Eukaryota; Metazoa; Chordata; Mammalia; Rodentia; Sciuridae
Source: RNAcentral